This is a long non-coding RNA of Carassius gibelio (silver crucian carp), 3739 nucleotides long. RefSeq lists it as uncharacterized. The record is from RefSeq and is a predicted model, not a curated record. The transcript is spliced from 3 exons. Lineage: Eukaryota; Metazoa; Chordata; Actinopteri; Cypriniformes; Cyprinidae.
AUACACUCUAAAAACGGCUGGGUUAUUUUUUAACCCAAAAUGCUGGGUUGAGUGUGUUGGGUCAUUUUGUUGGGUUAUUUUAUUUCUUUUUAAACACUUUUGGGUAGUUUCAGUUUACCAGGUGUUGGGUUAAACCUGCUGGGUUGCGUCGCUGGGUUGUUUCAGGUCAGCGCUGGGUUAUUUAACGCGCCUUGAAGAUGUUUAAAUCGCUCCCCAACUGUCAUUUUGGAAGAACAACGGGGCAAAGCCACGGCUUUCAACUGUUUUAAGAAAAGCACAUGGAUACAUUUGUGAGAGAAUAACUCGUCGAGUGCAGUCUUAUUGAUGCGUCUAACGGUUGGAACAAACAUGGAAUUCCUUAACCCAGCAGAGUCCACAAAACCCCAUCCAAUUGUCAUGGCGAUUUAAAAAUGCCAGCAGAUCUCUCAGACAUUGAUCAUAAUCAAUGGACAGGUAAGGAUAUUCUGGACUAUUUUCCAAAUAAAUUGCUAAUUGUAUAUUUAAUUGCAUUUUUCCACAUGUGGACGCAUACAUUGUGACAUAGUCCAAACGCAAUUGAAAAGCAUUUGAAUUACAGAUGCUUUACACAGAAAGCUGUCAAUUUGUGUCAAGCGUGGGACUAUACUAUGGGGCAUGUUUUUAUUGGGAUAUAUUCUGUAGUUUUACCCCUAAUCUCUCACUGUAUGCACUCUGAUGCGCGUCAGCAAAACAACAUUGCAGUUCUACUCUUAUUUACCUAUUUGCAUCUUAUCCUAUAUUUUAUUCCUCAGGUGAAAAGCAUUUGGUUAAUGGUGAAUAUUGACCAAUAGUACCAUGUGGCUCUAACUGUUAGCAGGGGAUAGUAGUUGCAUUUGGGGUAAAAAUGACAGAAUUAUUUAUUGUGUGAGGUGCCAAGAAUAUAGGGAGAUCCGGGUUGCACUGUCUGUUCUUUAACACGCAUCUCUCGGAGCGGCAGCUGCCUUUAGUAGUGCCUUAACCUCCAUUGUUCAAAGCAUUUGGCUCCAUAGUAUGGUACCACCUCUAGCAAAAAUUGACAGUUUUCCAUGUGAGGCUAAAGUAAAUUGCUAAAGUAAUUGCGAUUCCCUUUGAGUUUUGGCAGGUAACGUGCAACACAGUGAAAAAACAGACAUAACAGGUAAUUAGUAACACCUCAUGUACUUAUUCUUAUGUUGCAUCUACGCUAACAUUAGUCUGUUUCUCUCUUGUUCCGAGGUCACCGUAGCCACGAGAUCCAGUCUGUAUCCAGAUCAGAGGGUCACUGCAGUCACCCGGAUCCAGCACUUAUCCAGACCUGAUGGUGGAUCAGCACCUAGAAAGGACCUCUACAUCCCUGAACGACAGCGGAGACCAGGACAACUAGAGCCCCAGAUACAGAUCCCCUGUAAAGACCUUGUCUCAGACGACCACCAGGACAAGACCACAGGAAACAGAUGAUUCUUCUGCACAAUCUGACUUUGCUGCAGUCUGGAAUUUAACUACUGGUUUCGUCUGGUCAGAGGAGAACUGACCCCAACUGAGCCUGGUUUCUCCCAAGGUUUUUUUCUCCAUUCUGUCACCGAUGGAGUUUCGGUUCUUUGGUUUUCCUUAGUUUGGGACAAUUAAUAUCAAGCGAUAUCAUCGACUUGAUCGCACAGAGGGACGAUACAUCACUGAAUCAAUGAUGAACUGACUUUAACUGAAAACUGAGUGUUUACUGUUGUCUCUUUGCAUUAUUACACACUAUUUUCCUAUUUAAUACUGUAAAGCUGCUAUGAUGCAGUAUUUGAUCAAUAUGAGAGGCUUAUUACUCAUAAUAAAUGGAAAAUACAGCUGCAAACGGACUUUGCUUUUCCAUUUGAAAUUUGGCAGUCACUGUGCAUUCAUGAAAACUGAAAAGGUAAUUUUUGUUCGUUGUUUCUGAAAGUGUUUUUGUUCAAGAUUUGCAAUUGUGUUUGGAUUUUGUCACAAUUUGUCACAUGUGGAAAACGCAAUUGAAAACAUAAUUUGCAAUUCCUUUUGAAAAUUGUCCUUCCAUUGACAGGCUCUAAAGCAGAGUACACUGCUCUCAGGUGAUCUUUGAGUAGAUCUUUGAAUUUUCAUUUUUGGGUGAACUAUAUGGGCCCUAUUUUAACGAUCUGAAACGCAAGUGUCAAAGCGCGAAGCGCAAGUAACUUUGUGGGCGGGUCUCGGCGCUGUUGCUAUUUUCCCGGCGGGAUAAAUGGCUCUUGCGCCCGGCGCAAAUCUAAAAUGGGUUGGUCUGAAGUAGCUUCAUUAUUCAUAGGUGUGGUUUGGGCGUAACGUGAAAUAAACCAAUCAGAGCGUCAUCCAACAUUCCCUUUAAAAGCAGGUGCGCAAGUUCCAUUAUGGAUUGCUAUUAUUAUGGCGUAUUUACCAGGCGCACGCCAGGAGCGGUUCACAGCCGAGGAGACUGAUGUUCUUGUAAGAGCAGUGAAAGACAGAGAAGUUGUGUUGUAUGGGGAUGGGAGAAACCCACCCAAAAUAGCGUCGGUUAAACAGGCGUGGGAGGAAAUAGCCACAAUUGUUUCAUCGAUUUUUUUUUCCUGGUUCUUGACGGACAAACCAAUUUGUCAGAUGUCCUUAUAUACAUAUAUGACCUCAAACAGGUCUGAUCCUUAAUUACUACAAUUAGCCUGAAUAAUUUGUAAGCUAGAUUUAUGCCUAUUUUUUCACAUCUUCGUGGCACACCACAAUGAUUUCCGUCAUCUCAUGUGUUAAUAUUUUUUUUUUAAGUGUAACAAUUUAUGAUUUGCAAAAAUAACUGUUGCAUCUGUGUAGAUUACAUGAGCAAAGUGUAUGCGCGUUGUGCACGCUGUACAUUAUGGUCAAGCAUGCGCCCUUAAAAUAGCAGAAUGAACAACGCGCAACGCGCCACUGACUUUAGACUAGGUUUUUUCUGGUCAGUGGCGCAAUUAUUUAAUGGAACAGCAAAAUAGCACCAGGGAUUGUUUGCGCCGGAACACGCCUCCUUUUUUGCGCUGAACCGCCCAGGGAGCGCAAGUUCAUUCACUAGUUUAGCGACGUGCUUCUGUGGAGGGAAAAGCGCGCUUUGCGCGGGUGCAAAAUAGGAAUGACACAUGCGUCGGUGUACAAAGUCAAUUGCGCUGGGUGCAAGAUAGGGCCCUAUAUGUUGAACUACCCUAAGCAGUGCACAUCUACCUACAUAGGAGUCUUUCUAUACUUGAUAUAAAUUUAAGGACAUCUUUAAAUUGUUUUACAUUUAAAUUUAAAGAAUGUUAAUUGUCAAUGUCAUUUCACUGUGUAUUUAAAUAGCUAAACAUGUCAAAAUGUAAUAGUUAAACAGCUAGACACAGGUCAUUUAGAAAUAAUUUUCUUAUUUAUUGCAACUGUAAUUCUGAGAUUUUUAUUUUAUUAAUUUUUUUUUGCAUUUGCUGGAAACAAAAAAAGGGAAAAUUCCAUGUUGUUUGUCAUUGGUACACAUCAGAUGGCAUUAAAAAUAUUUUUUAACAGUCUAAAUAACCUGUAUUCUUCAUUAUUUAUUAAUCCAUGAUUGCUUUGUUAAGCAAAAGUGAAAUUAUGAGAAUAACCCAGCAAGAAUAACCCAGAAUCAUAAAAAUGCAAACCCACAAAUGGUAAAAAUGACUCUAACUUGGGUUUUCUAAAUAACCCAGCAUGCUGGGUUAAAAUGUGUAAACCAGCAUGCUGGGUUACUUUAACCCAGCAUGUGUUCUGUCCAAUAUUUACCCAGUGCUGGGUUGCCAAUUGGGUUAUUUUUAACCCA